RNAcentral lists this ribosomal RNA (373 nucleotides) under uncultured bacterium. RNAcentral describes it as "bacterial SSU rRNA". It matches the Rfam family "Bacterial small subunit ribosomal RNA", at positions 521 to 896 of the family's 1533-position model. The record is from RNAcentral.
UAAUACGGAGGGUGCAAGCGUUAUCCGGAUUUAUUGGGUUUAAAGGGUGCGUAGGCGGAAUAUUAAGUCAGUGGUGAAAUCCUGCGGCUCAACCGUAGAACUGCCAUUGAUACUGAUAUUCUUGAAUGUAGUUGAGGUAGGCGGAAUGUGUAAUGUAGCGGUGAAAUGCUUAGAUAUUACACAGAACACCGAUUGCGAAGGCAGCUUGCUAAACUAUGAUUGACGCUGAUGCACGAAAGCGUGGGGAGCGAACAGGAUUAGAUACCCUGGUAGUCCACGCCGUAAACGAUGAUCACUCGUUGUUUGUGAUAUACAAUAAGCGACUGAGCGAAAGCAUUAAGUGAUCCACCUGGGGAGUACGUUCGCAAGAAUG